Molecule: long non-coding RNA, 522 nt
Filed under: Struthio camelus australis
Lineage: Eukaryota; Metazoa; Chordata; Aves; Struthioniformes; Struthionidae
Description: lncRNA (ENSSCUG00000013789.1)
Source: RNAcentral
AUUUACAGUUUGAACAAGGUUGCAGAUUACAAUUGUGUACAAAAAAAUUGGGAUGUUGUUUUAUAGGUCUCAACAGUGUGUGACCUAAGUAGUUGCAAUGCCUAAACAUCUGCGCAUAGAUUGUAAAUUUGCUUUGACAUUUGUGUAAACAAAACUUUGACUGUUCACCCACACAUGGAAGGUGGACACAAACAAGCAUGUGUAGGUUUGAGGUAAACCAAUUUUAAAUGUGAAUAUCUAUUCCUAGAGGAAAAAAUAACUGCAAUUCUGAUCCGUUCAGAGUUCCCAGGUUUCUGGACAUCCUGAAGUGAGAAGAGUCCACUGCCACUUCUUGUGCCACUUCUGCAGCUGGCUGUCGCAGCAACCUGUACCACAAAUGUCACUCUUCCUUGUGCUUUCACCACCAGACUGCAUGUUGCUGUAAUCAAGCCACUUGUUUGCUAAAAGUUUGCAAGAAGUGAAAAAACAGAAGAGCUUUAUCAAGAACAAAUCCCGGCAGUCUAAUCUCCUUCCAAAGCAAGG